Molecule: ribosomal RNA, 723 nt
Filed under: uncultured fungus
Lineage: Eukaryota; Fungi
Description: eukaryotic LSU rRNA
Rfam family: 5.8S ribosomal RNA (bases 300-453)
Source: RNAcentral
CUUGGUCAUUUAGAGGAAGUAAAAGUCGUAACAAGGUUUCCGUAGGUGAACCUGCGGAAGGAUCAUUAUUGAAUUAACUUGUUGGGUUGUAGCUGGCUCCUAGGAGCAUGUGCACACCCUUCAUCGUUUUUCCACCUGUGCACCUUUUGUAGUCCUGGAUACCUCUCGAGGCAACUCGGAUUGAGGGCUUGCAGUGCGAAAGCCGGCUUGCCCUUACAUUUCCAGGACUAUGUUUUCAUACACCCCAAUAGAAUGUUAUAGAAUGUCAUUUAUGGGCUUCACAGCCUUUAAACUUAUACAACUUUCAACAACGGAUCUCUUGGCUCUCGCAUCGAUGAAGAACGCAGCGAAAUGCGAUAAGUAAUGUGAAUUGCAGAAUUCAGUGAAUCAUCGAAUCUUUGAACGCACCUUGCGCCCCUUGGUAUUCCGAGGGGCACGCCUGUUUGAGUGUCAUUAAAUUCUCAACCUUGCCAGCUUUUACGAGUCGGCGUAGGCUUGGAUGUGGGGGUUGCCGGCUUCUUCAGAGGUCGGCUCUCCUUAAAUGCAUUAGCGGAACCUUUGUGGACCGUCUCUGGUGUGAUAAUUAUCUACGCCAUUGCCGUGAAGCAGCUUUACAUGGGGUUCAGCUCAUAACCGUCCAUUAAUUUGGACAACUCUUGACAUUUUGACCUCAAAUCAGGCGGGACUACCCGCUGAACUUAAGCAUAUCAAUAAGCGGAGGAA